AGUGCGGGACGAUGUGACGGAGAGGAAGGAAACCAAAAGGUGGCAACUGCGAUUUCCCAGCCCGGCCUCCUCUUUCGGCAGCAACCCGCCCAUUCUCAGAGCUGGAGCGGGGAGAGGCAAGAAAGAGAGAGACAUGCUAGGUCACCAGCAUUUCGACUGUUCCUACAGAAGAUCUACUCUUCAUCCAGGUUUACAGCCAGUAGAAACCCACAAAUCGGAUGUUUAAGCAAAGGACCAGUUGCCGAUUCAACCUUCUGACCUCGUUUCCGGUGUCGGGACUUCAAAAGUACUUUUCCUUGGGGAAAUCCUUGGCUAAGGUGAUUGAAGUUCAUUAAUUAAAGCCAACAGUGGGUGUCUGAGA
Tachyglossus aculeatus (Australian echidna) is the source of this 361-nucleotide long non-coding RNA. RefSeq lists it as uncharacterized. The record is from RefSeq and is a predicted model, not a curated record. NCBI's taxonomy places the organism in Eukaryota, Metazoa, Chordata, Mammalia, Monotremata, Tachyglossidae. The transcript has 4 exons.